Molecule: ribosomal RNA, 484 nt
Filed under: uncultured eukaryote
Lineage: Eukaryota
Description: bacterial SSU rRNA
Rfam family: Eukaryotic small subunit ribosomal RNA
Source: RNAcentral
UUGAACGUUCGGGUUCCGCGGGACGGGGCCGCCCCGCGAGGGACGGCGCCGCCCCGGGGCUCGUGAUAUCUCAUCUCGCCGCCCGUCGCGAGGCGGACGGAGGGAUGGAUGAGGUUACCUGGAAAAAAUCGGGGCGAUCUAGGCGGGCGAACCUCGCCAACGAACGAUCGGACAUGGGAUAACGGAAGAGGGCGUCGGCUCGACUUCGUCGGUUCCUCGGGCCGAGGCACGUACGGUGAAUAGGGGACGGUCGGGGCCGCCCGUACCGGGUCGUGAGAGGUGAAAUUCUAGGAUCGACCCGAGACGAACCGCCGCGAAAGCAUUCGGCAAGGACGCUUUCAUUAAUCAAGAACGAAAGUCGGGGGAUCGAAGACGAUCAGAUACCGUCGUAGUCCCGACCGUAAACGAUGCCGACCGAGGGCCCGGAGGAGUUACGUACGACCCUCCGGGCCCUCCCGCGAGAAAUCAGGAGUAUUCGGGUUCC